This 68-nucleotide transfer RNA is filed under the name Felis catus (domestic cat). It matches the Rfam family "tRNA". Rfam says of the family: Transfer RNA (tRNA) molecules are approximately 80 nucleotides in length. Their secondary structure includes four short double-helical elements and three loops (D, anti-codon, and T loops). The record is from Rfam by way of RNAcentral. Lineage: Eukaryota; Metazoa; Chordata; Mammalia; Carnivora; Felidae.
GCUGGCUCAGUAAGUAGAGCAUGUGACUCUUGAUCUCAAGGAUGUGGGUUCAAGCCCCACAUCCAGCU